GGGUGGGUCCGGCGCGGCGAAGCUCUGUGAACCCUGUCAGGUCCGAAAGGAAGCAGCAGUAAGCGGAUGUCUCCGGGUGCCGCCGGGUCGCCUGCCCGGA
This 100-nucleotide signal recognition particle RNA is filed under the name Anaerolineae bacterium. RNAcentral describes it as "signal recognition particle sRNA small type". It matches the Rfam family "Bacterial small signal recognition particle RNA". From Rfam's summary of the family: The signal recognition particle (SRP) is a universally conserved ribonucleoprotein involved in the co-translational targeting of proteins to membranes. Archaeal SRP consists of a 7S RNA and homologues of the eukaryotic SRP19 and SRP54 proteins. Lineage: Bacteria; Bacillati; Chloroflexota; Anaerolineae. The record is from RNAcentral.